GGUGAGCUUUGUUCACUUAACCAUUGAUCUUGCACCGAAACAGGUGAAUUGUCCUUUGCUAUUUCCAUUGACUCCACGCUACUGCCCUCUGUUAACAAAACUCUGCUAUUUUCCACUUGAGCUUUCUUAAUAUCAGUGAAGCUGAGAGGCUUCUCGCUGAUAUUCGAUGAAGAAGAGCAGGAGGUAUCAGCUGAUGAAGCUGUGUAAUUUAUUUCCUCUGAAGGUGCCCAUCUACUUAGCUUUAUUU
RNAcentral lists this unclassified non-coding RNA (247 nucleotides) under Hevea brasiliensis (rubber tree). Lineage: Eukaryota; Viridiplantae; Streptophyta; Magnoliopsida; Malpighiales; Euphorbiaceae. The record is from RNAcentral.